Molecule: unclassified non-coding RNA, 661 nt
Filed under: Hevea brasiliensis (rubber tree)
Lineage: Eukaryota; Viridiplantae; Streptophyta; Magnoliopsida; Malpighiales; Euphorbiaceae
Source: RNAcentral
GUUUUUAUCAAAUCUGCUCUCGCCACAUGUUUCACAACAGCAUGAUGGGCAAAACCACUCUCCAUCUGGGAUCUCCUUCAUUCCAAGGCAACCAGUAUGAAAGGAAGACGGGCAUUCAUCACACAAAAGUAAUUCACCACCAUAAUGGCACACGGAACACACAUAGUCAUUAGUGCCCAAAUGGCUGCGCUUUUUCAGCAAAGGGGUUCUCUUCCUCGUGUGUCUUAAACUAGUCUUUUCUUUCAUCUGCAGUUGACAAUCAAGAAGGGAUCGUCCAUCUUCCAAAUAUAUAUUUGCUGAAGGUCUGUGAUAACUACUUCCAGCAUGCACCUCAAAACUGCUAAUUCCAUAAACUUUUUGGCAGCACUUGCAUUUGAUCCCUGCACGAGUGAUCCGCCCUUCUGCCAUUGGACGACCAUCUCUUUUCCCACGAUACUGCACUUUCGCACGCGGCAGAACCACAUUAUUGUCAAUCAACCAAGAUAAAACUGUUCGAGGUGUAUGAUGCAAGGAAGAAUAAAGUGUCCCCUGCCGAGCUUUUUUACUGGAUCGCAACAGACCAACUGAAGACUCAGAUUCUGUACCAUCUGUUACUGUUCUUGAAGAUCUAGAUUCAUUUUCUUUUUUCAACAUGCCACCUCCAUGAAUAGUCUUCUUUCUU